GGCUCAGGAUGAACGCUAGCGGCAGGCUUAAUACAUGCAAGUCGUGGGGCAGCAUGAGUAGCAAUACUUGAUGGCGACCGGCAAACGGGUGAGGAACACGUACACAACCUUCCUUCAAGCGGGGAAUAGCCCAGAGAAAUUUGGAUUAAUACCCCAUAAUAUAUUUGAUAAGGCAUCUUAUUAAUAUUAAAGCUUCGGCACUUGAUGAUGGGUGUGCGGCUGAUUAGAUAGUUGGCGGGGUAACGGCCCACCAAGUCUACGAUCAGUAGCUGAUGUGAGAGCAUGAUCAGCCACACGGGCACUGAGACACGGGCCCGACUCCUACGGGAGGCAGCAGUAAGGAAUAUUGGACAAUGGACGAAAGUCUGAUCCAGCCAUGCCGCGCGAAGGAUUAAGGUCCUCUGGAUUGUAAACUUCUUUUAUAUGGGACGAAAAAAGGGCAUUCUUGUUCACUUGACGGUACCAUAUGAAUAAGCACCGGCUAACUCCGUG
RNAcentral lists this ribosomal RNA (492 nucleotides) under uncultured bacterium. Its description in RNAcentral is "bacterial SSU rRNA". It matches the Rfam family "Bacterial small subunit ribosomal RNA", at positions 21 to 507 of the family's 1533-position model. The record is from RNAcentral.